CAAAUACAUAUCCGAUGAAGAGAGAUUGUAUUCAUACAUGUAUGCUAUAAUCACUUUAGAUCAUUUAAUAAAUACGAAUUUAAUACUUAUUAUUUACAAUUUUAAUUCUUAACAUAAGCGCACACGCACACACAUCAACUCAAGCACAAGAGCGAGUGCUAGAUGCUUUUUAUUUCGUCUUCAACCGUUCAUUUGAAUUUCAGUUGAUUUUGACACGGAUGUUGAAUGCGUCCGAAUCGAAACUGUUGAUUUCAAUUUUUGUGUUGAUUUAUAUUCGUUUAUUUUUUUUUUCGUUUACCUGUGGGAUAAAAGAGAAGGGUUUCCAGCUCAAUCUUGAUAAUACGCUCAAUCAUUUCUAAUUGAAUUUUCAGCCUUAAGUAUCGUCCACAACCAAAACAAAACAUAAAUCCAACAAUCAUAACAACUGUAACCACAUUUAAAAAGAAAAUACUACAAAAAAAAAAAUGAUUGAAAACUAAACCAAAAAAAAAAGAAACAGCAACAACCGAAAAGUUGUUUUUAAAAAAAUGUUGUGCUUUGACAAUAAUUUUAUAAAAUUUAUGUGAUAAAAUUUGUUGUUUGUUGUUAUUUAUAUCAAUAGUAUUGCGCUGAUGUUAAACGAAUGAUGCAUUGAAAUGAGGCGAUGUAACAUGUUAUGAAUUAGUAAAAAGUGAAAGUGAAGUUGAAUCGUACGGAAGUUUCUCUUCGCUUUUUGUUAUUGUUUCGUAAAUUUUCAUUUUAAAAAUUUAUUUUUAUCUUCAUGGUUUCAAAUGUUCCGUUCCAUAUUUUCUUUUCGCUGACAUUAAAGUCGACCAUUUGAGCUGAUCCACUGCGUUGCACAACGUGCAAUCAAUUCCAGUGUACAAAGGCAAAUCAAGAAUAUAUGCACCAUACUCAUUGAAUGAAAAAAAUCAAAAAUUCUAUUGAAGAUAAACGAAAUAAAAAUCUGUGAUAACCGAUGUGAACAAAUAAAUACCCAAACAAACAGACACCAAACAAUAGAAUAUCAAUAGCCG
This is a long non-coding RNA of Sitodiplosis mosellana (orange wheat blossom midge), 1016 nucleotides long. RefSeq lists it as uncharacterized. The transcript is spliced from 2 exons. The record is from RefSeq and is a predicted model, not a curated record. NCBI's taxonomy places the organism in Eukaryota, Metazoa, Arthropoda, Insecta, Diptera, Cecidomyiidae.